RNAcentral lists this ribosomal RNA (497 nucleotides) under uncultured bacterium. RNAcentral's name for it is "partial 16S ribosomal RNA". It matches the Rfam family "Bacterial small subunit ribosomal RNA", at positions 28 to 507 of the family's 1533-position model. The record is from RNAcentral.
GAUGAACGCUGGCGGCGUGCCUAAUACAUGCAAGUCGAGCGAACGGACGAGAAGCUUGCUUCUCUGAUGUUAGCGGCGGACGGGUGAGUAACACGUGGAUAACCUACCUAUAAGACUGGGAUAACUUCGGGAAACCGGAGCUAAUACCGGAUAAUAUUUUGAACCGCAUGGUUCGAAAGUGAAAGACGGUCUUGCUGUCACUUAUAGAUGGAUCCGCGCUGCAUUAGUUAGUUGGUAAGGUAACGGCUUACCAAGGCAACGAUGCAUAGCCGACCUGAGAGGGUGAGCGGGCACACCGGAACUGAAGCACGGUCCAGACUCCUACGGGAGGCAGCAGUAGGGAAUCUUCCGCAAUGGGCGAAGGCCUGACGGAGCAACGCCGCGUGAGUGAUGAAGGUCUCCGGAUCGUAAAACGCUGUUAUUAGGGAAGAACAUAUGUGUAAGUAACUGUGCACAUCUUGACGGUACCUAAUCAGAAAGCCACGGCUAACUACGGU